Molecule: ribosomal RNA, 305 nt
Filed under: uncultured bacterium
Lineage: Bacteria
Description: bacterial SSU rRNA
Rfam family: Bacterial small subunit ribosomal RNA
Source: RNAcentral
CCGUCCUACGGGAGGCAGCAGUGGGGAAUAUUGCACAAUGGGGGAAACCCUGAUGCAGCGACGCCGCGUGGGCGACGAAGCGCUCCGGCGCGUAAAGCCCUGUCAGCAGGGAAGAAAAAAGACAGUACCUGACCAAGAAGCCCCGGCUAACUACGUGCCAGCAGCCGCGGUAAUACGUAGGGGGCAAGCGUUAUCCGGAUUCACUGGGCGUAAAGGGUGCGCAGGCGGCGAGUUAAGUCAGCGGUAAAAUUUCGGGGCUCAACCCCGACGAGCCGUUGAAACUGGCUUGCUAGAGAGGGCGAGAA